This 216-nucleotide unclassified non-coding RNA is filed under the name Hevea brasiliensis (rubber tree). Lineage: Eukaryota; Viridiplantae; Streptophyta; Magnoliopsida; Malpighiales; Euphorbiaceae. The record is from RNAcentral.
AGCACGUGAAGGCAGAAAGUCAUACAACAAUUUCAGCCAAAGUUCUUGAAUUAUUACACCAAGGGGUUGGAUUAAACACUACAGGCAGUGUUUUCAAGUCCACGGAUUCAUGUUCCAGCUUCGAGUUCUCAGGCAGUCCUACUGAAAAAGCUAUUCUUUCAUGGGCUGUUAUGGAAUUGAACAUGGAUAUGGAUCAAAUCAAAAGAAAUUUCAACA